This 388-nucleotide ribosomal RNA is filed under the name uncultured bacterium. Its description in RNAcentral is "bacterial SSU rRNA". It matches the Rfam family "Bacterial small subunit ribosomal RNA", at positions 28 to 416 of the family's 1533-position model. The record is from RNAcentral.
GACGAACGCUGGCGGCGUGCUUAACACAUGCAAGUCGAGCGGUAAGGCCCUUUCGGGGGUACACGAGCGGCGAACGGGUGAGUAACACGUGGGUGACCUGCCCUCAGCUCUGGGAUAAGCCUGGGAAACCGGGUCUAAUACUGGAUAUGACUCCAUGACGCAUGUUGUGGGGUGGAAAGCCUUGUGCGGCUGAGGAUGGGCCCGCGGCCUAUCAGCUUGUUGGUGGGGUGANGGCCUACCAAGGCGACGACGGGUAGCCGGCCUGAGAGGGCGACCGGCCACACUGGGACUGAGACACGGCCCAGACUCCUACGGGAGGGCAGCAGUGGGGAAUCUUGCGCAAUGGGCGAAAGCCUGACGCAGCGACGCCGCGUGAGGGAUGACGGCC